This 489-nucleotide ribosomal RNA is filed under the name uncultured bacterium. RNAcentral describes it as "partial 16S ribosomal RNA". It matches the Rfam family "Bacterial small subunit ribosomal RNA", at positions 29 to 523 of the family's 1533-position model. The record is from RNAcentral.
AUUGAACGCUGGCGGCAGGCCUAACACAUGCAAGUCGAGCGGGGUUUUCGGACCUAGCGGCGGACGGGUGAGUAAUGCGUAGGAAGCUACCCGAUAGAGGGGGAUACCAGUUGGAAACGACUGUUAAUACCGCAUAAUGUCUACGGACCAAAGUGUGGGACCUUCGGGCCACAUGCUAUCGGAUGCGCCUACGUGGGAUUAGCUAGUUGGGGAGGUAAUGGCUCACCAAGGCGACGAUCCCUAGCUGGUUUGGGAGGAUGAUCAGCCACACUGGGAAUGAGACACGGCCCAGACUCCUACGGGAGGCAGCAGUGGGGAAUCUUGGACAAUGGGGGAAACCCCGAUCCAGCGACGCCGCGUGGGUGAUGAAGGCCUUCGGGUCGUAAAGCCCUGUCGGGGGAGAAGAAACUCCUGCCGGUAAACAAUCGGCAGGAUUGACGGUACCCCCUAAGGAAGCACCGGCUAACUCCGUGCCAGCAGCCGCCGCGG